Molecule: ribosomal RNA, 520 nt
Filed under: uncultured bacterium
Lineage: Bacteria
Description: bacterial SSU rRNA
Rfam family: Bacterial small subunit ribosomal RNA
Source: RNAcentral
CCAGAGAACUUAGCAGAGAUGCUUUGGUGCCUUCGGGAACUCUGAGACAGGUGCUGCAUGGCUGUCGUCAGCUCGUGUUGUGAAAUGUUGGGUUAAGUCCCGCAAGAGCGCAACCCUUAUCCUUUGUUGCCAGCGGUCCGGCCGGGAACUCAAAGGAGACUGCCAGUGAUAAACUGGAGGAAGGUGGGGAUGACGUCAAGUCAUCAUGGCCCUUACGAGUAGGGCUACACACGUGCUACAAUGGCGCAUACAAAGAGAAGCGACCUCGCGAGAGCAAGCGGACCUCAUAAAGUGCGUCGUAGUCCGGAUUGGAGUCUGCAACUCGACUCCAUGAAGUCGGAAUCGCUAGUAAUCGUAGAUCAGAAUGCUACGGUGAAUACGUUCCCGGGCCUUGUACACACCGCCCGUCACACCAUGGGAGUGGGUUGCAAAAGAAGUAGGUAGCUUAACCUUCGGGAGGGCGCUUACCACUUUGUGAUUCAUGACUGGGGUGAAGUCGUAACAAGGUAGGCGUAGACGU